AUAGUUUCUCGGCCUUUUGGCUAAGAUCAACUGCAGCAUCUUACCUGGCAGAUUGACAGCUGCUAUGUUGACUCUAUGGUUAACUCAGCCACUGUUUACAUGCUAUCCUUCUUGUUUCAGCCAACCAAUGACCUGCAUUUUAUUGGACAUAAUUUGUAUGUGAGACAGAACACAUAAAGAUGAAUUCAUU
Non-coding RNA from Mus musculus (house mouse), 190 nucleotides. Lineage: Eukaryota; Metazoa; Chordata; Mammalia; Rodentia; Muridae. The record is from Rfam.